This 382-nucleotide ribosomal RNA is filed under the name uncultured bacterium. RNAcentral's name for it is "bacterial SSU rRNA". It matches the Rfam family "Bacterial small subunit ribosomal RNA", at positions 75 to 454 of the family's 1533-position model. The record is from RNAcentral.
GGAGCUUGCUCUUCUUGAUCAGUGGCGAACGGGUGAGUAACACGUGAGUAACCUGCCCUUGACUCUGGGAUAACGUCCGGGAAACCGGGCUAAUACGUGGAUACGAAGCGCCGUCGGCAGUCGGGUGCGUCGUAGGUAAGUUUUCGGUCGAAGGAGUGGACUCGCGGCCUAUCAGCUUGUGGCGGGUAACGGCCCACCAAGGCGUCGACGGGUAGCCGGCCUGAGAGGGCGACCGGCCACAUUGGGACUGAGACACGGCCCAAACUCCUACGGGAGGCAGCAGUAGGGAAUCUUCCACAAUGGACGCAAGUCUGAUGGAGCAACGCCGCGUGAGUGAAGAAGGUUUCGGAUCGUAAAGCUCUGUUGUUGGUGAAGAAGGAUA